This 343-nucleotide long non-coding RNA is filed under the name Chrysolophus pictus (golden pheasant). RNAcentral's name for it is "lncRNA (ENSCPIG00010000533.1)". The record is from RNAcentral. Lineage: Eukaryota; Metazoa; Chordata; Aves; Galliformes; Phasianidae.
CAGAAUUUGAAAGCAGCCACCGCCGCGACCUGGACCAAUGAUCUGGGCAGAGCGCGGGGGGAGUUUCAGCUCAGCAGCUCUGGCGCCCGUUACGAACAGCGGCCUUCGCUCCCGGCCACGCGCAGCCCGCGCUCAUCUCAGUGCCUGCUCCCCCGGCCGCCCAGGGGCCCCGGCUGGAGCAGGAGCACAGGAGAUCCGUGGGGAUGCCGGAGCGCAGCAGUGGGUUGGCACCGGCAGCCCCAUGGAGCGUGAGCUGGGCACGGAGGGCUUCUUCCCCCCGAGGAAAUAUCUCAGCUGUCAGCAUCACAGUGCUGAGCCAAAGCUUCCCGGAGGUGCGCAAUGA